RNAcentral lists this long non-coding RNA (434 nucleotides) under Bos taurus (domestic cattle). RNAcentral describes it as "long non-coding RNA NONBTAT022526". Lineage: Eukaryota; Metazoa; Chordata; Mammalia; Artiodactyla; Bovidae. The record is from RNAcentral.
UUUCAACUUUUAUGACAUGAUCAUGAGACCCACUGCAGGGGAAAAAAAUUGACUUCAUCAAUUUUACCUUAAUCUUUUUCAUUCAAGUCAUUCUCUUUUAAAGUCCCUCACCUAAAAUUAUCAUCAUUGUCAAUUUUUCUUCUUUAUCUAUUAGGAGACCCAACUUUCAAACUCUCAAUCUCAGUUUUAGCAACUUUGCCAGGGGUUUGAAAUUUUUACCAACUUAAUUAAUCAUCAAAUCUCACAUCUUAAUGCAAGGUUGCAAUUUCACCUUCCAUCAAUCCACAUGGCAUCUGCACACUAUUGUGUGAAUGUCAACCAUAGACAGUGAAAGACUGAUUAAUGAAGACUGGAGAUAGAGACUGGUGAUAUAUCAGAGAGGGAAUGUUUGAAUGGGAACUACUGUUGUAAGAGGUUAAUUCAUACAUUACCAU